This 253-nucleotide ribosomal RNA is filed under the name uncultured bacterium. Its description in RNAcentral is "partial 16S ribosomal RNA". It matches the Rfam family "Bacterial small subunit ribosomal RNA", at positions 524 to 776 of the family's 1533-position model. The record is from RNAcentral.
UACGAAGGGGGCUAGCGUUGUUCGGAAUUACUGGGCGUAAAGGGCGCGUAGGCGGUCUGUCAAGUCAGGCGUGAAAGCCCCGGGCUCAACCUGGGAACUGCGCUUGAGACUGGCAGGCUCGAGUUCGGGAGAGGAUGGUGGAAUUCCCAGUGUAGAGGUGAAAUUCGUAGAUAUUGGGAAGAACACCGAUGGCGAAGGCAGCCAUCUGGACCGACACUGACGCUGAGGCGCGAAAGCGUGGGGAGCAAACAGG